RNAcentral lists this ribosomal RNA (209 nucleotides) under uncultured bacterium. RNAcentral's name for it is "partial 16S ribosomal RNA". It matches the Rfam family "Bacterial small subunit ribosomal RNA", at positions 1284 to 1500 of the family's 1533-position model. The record is from RNAcentral.
UAUCUCAGUUCGGAUUGGAGGCUGAAACCCGCCUCCAUGAAGUUGGAUUCGUUAGUAAUCGCGCAUCAGCCAUGGCGCGGUGAAUACGUUCCCGGGCCUUGUACACACCGCCCGUCAAGCCAUGGGAGCUGGGGGUGCCUGAAGUUCGUGACCGCAAGGAUCGACCUAGGGCAAAACCGGUGACUGGGGCUAAGUCGUAACAAGGUAAC